This 447-nucleotide ribosomal RNA is filed under the name uncultured bacterium. RNAcentral describes it as "partial 16S ribosomal RNA". It matches the Rfam family "Bacterial small subunit ribosomal RNA", at positions 330 to 793 of the family's 1533-position model. The record is from RNAcentral.
GCCAGACUCCUACGGGAGGCAGCAGUGGGGGAUAUUGCACAAUGGGGGGAACCCUGAUGCAGCGACGCCGCGUGGGUGAAGGAGCGUUUCGGCGCGUAAAGCCCUAUCGGCAGGGAAGAAGGAGGACGGUACCUGACUAAGAAGCCCCGGCUAACUACGUGCCAGCAGCCGCGGUAAUACGUAGGGGGCAAGCGUUAUCCGGAUUUACUGGGUGUAAAGGGGGCGCAGACGGCAGCGCAAGCCAGGAGUGAAAGCCCGGGGCCCAACCCCGGGACUGCUCUUGGAACUGCGCGGCUGGAGUGCAGGAGGGGCAGGCGGAAUUCCUGGUGUAGCGGUGAAAUGCGUAGAUAUUAGGAGGAACACCAGUGGCGAAGGCGGCCUGCUGGACAUUAACUGACGCUGAGGCGCGAAAGCGUGGGGAGCAAACAGGAUUAGAUACCCGCGUAC